RNAcentral lists this long non-coding RNA (249 nucleotides) under Lupinus angustifolius (narrow-leaved blue lupine). RNAcentral's name for it is "long non-coding RNA (LANG_LNC001007)". The record is from RNAcentral. Lineage: Eukaryota; Viridiplantae; Streptophyta; Magnoliopsida; Fabales; Fabaceae.
GGAUCUCGUUCUUGAUUAUUAAUCAAGAAUUGCUUGAUCUUGAUUAAUUGAAACUAUGGUGAAAACUGAAAAUUGGCAAGACAAGAAAGAUUCUUUGUUCAUUAUAUGAAAUUGGAUUGUGCCUUUGGCCCUAUUUGCCUUUAUGAAUCCGAAUGAGAGCCUUGUCGCCUCAAUGAAUUUUAAAUCCAAAUGAGACCCUAAUUGUCUUAAUGACUUUUAAAUUUGGAUGAGACUCUAGUUGCCUUGACG